Molecule: ribosomal RNA, 234 nt
Filed under: Klebsiella pneumoniae
Lineage: Bacteria; Pseudomonadati; Pseudomonadota; Gammaproteobacteria; Enterobacterales; Enterobacteriaceae
Description: partial 23S ribosomal RNA
Rfam family: Bacterial large subunit ribosomal RNA
Source: RNAcentral
GGGUUGUGAGGUUAAGCGACUAAGCGUACACGGUGGAUGCCCUGGCAGUCAGAGGCGAUGAAGGACGUGCUAAUCUGCGAAAAGCGUCGGUAAGGUGAUAUGAACCGUUAUAACCGGCGAUGUCCGAAUGGGGAAACCCAGUGCAAUUCGUUGCACUAUCGUUAACUGAAUACAUAGGUUAACGAGGCGAACCGGGGGAACUGAAACAUCUAAGUACCCCGAGGAAAAGAAAUC